Molecule: long non-coding RNA, 8771 nt
Filed under: Sus scrofa (pig)
Lineage: Eukaryota; Metazoa; Chordata; Mammalia; Artiodactyla; Suidae
Description: lncRNA (ENSSSCG00015034926.1)
Source: RNAcentral
CAAAAGUUCUAUAUUCAGUUUCUGGUACCUUCAGUUCAGAGGCAGAUAGUACUGCUUGAACCUUAAAACUCUGUAUCUGAUGUCCAUGUGAAGAGAAUAUAACUGUUAUAAAUUCAGAGAGUAGAAAUCAUAGAGGGAAAGGAUAAUAUUUGAGAGUGAGGUUAAGAAUGUAGAAAUAUGUUGGUUAGAUUUUCAGUUUGUUCCUGAUGUAUAUUAGGUUUUUUUGUUUGUUUCCUUUGGAAAUUCUAUCUCCUAUUGGAAAUAAACUCUUUGAUUUAUUUCAAAAUCUGAGGGAACGCUUUGCCUUCACAGAAAUCAAAGAUGUUAGUUUUUAGGGGAAAUGUGUGACUUGCCCUUCUUUCUUUGUCAUUCACUUCAUAAGCAUAGGAAUACCACAAAGACAGGAGAUGAGGGUGUGUGACAGGGUGAGAUUGAAUUAGAGCAGAGGGCAGCUGAAGGAGAGAAGAGAUGACUCCCUGUUAAAAAAAAAAAAUAUUUAAACUAAAUGACUUAUGUGUUAACAGUCUUCUGAGGUCAGAUCUUCUAGAAAUGGCCAAGAACAUUUUUUUUUUUUAAAGUUACAGUCUUAGACUAUGUCAGCAAGACAUAAGUGUUUAUCAACACCUUGCUAGCUGGAAAGGCUAUGAAGAAGGGCAAUAGAAGGGGUGUGAGAGGCAAAUCCUGGUUGGGCCAAAAAUAAAACUACAAUUCAUAUAACCUUUGUAAAAGAAGCGGCAGUUAAGAGAGGAUGUAAUUGCUUGCAAAAUAUUAAAUGCUAUAGGUAAUGCCAAGAUUCACCGAUUGGUGUGGGUCAACCUAGAGAAGACAAGCUGCAGAAGGGAAAAAUAUUUUUUCUCUUCUCAAGGGAAAUGCUUUUCAUACAUAGGCUAUGGGCAUUCAGCAUUGUUUAUAGCAAAAAGAUGAAUUAGGGGAAACCAGAAGAAGAACAUCCAGGGGAAAACAAAGUCUUUCCGUUGUCAACUUAAAAAUUUACACAACCUGAAAGCUGAAAGUUAGGUUUUAUUUGGGGUGAAAUUAGGACUUCAGUCUGGGAGACAGCAUCUCAGCUAGCCCUGAGAAACCAGCUCUGAGGAGGCUAGGGGGGAGCUAGGAUAUAUGAGUUCUUGCAACAAAGGGAAGGUAGUAGGAACAAAAGGUUUACCUAUAACCAGGUUUACAGAAAAUGAUUUAUAGAAAACCAGUUUCUGUGGGAAGAUGUGAAAGUCUGGGCUUACUGGAAUCACUCCUUGGAUAUGCACCUCACCUGUGGGCCAAUCUUUGGUUCUUUCCUGAGCUCCCUCAGAGCUCAGUGGCUGACCCUUGGGAGUGGCUGUCCUCACAGAUGACCUUGACAUCUUUUGUUUUAUCCACCCUACUACAGCCUGGGAGACACUAUUUCAGACAGCUCUGAAAUACCACCCCAAAGAGAAAAGGGGGAAAUAUCAAGAUAUAAGUCCUAAAGUUGAUGGGUGAGAUGCAUGCAGAAGUUUGCUGCUGCUCUCAUGAAGGUUACUGCUAGUCACAGAUAUCAGUCAUCAUUGAAGGAUGUUAGUGUUUUUCUAGAUAUGAGGAGAUGCAAGAAUUGAGCUCAUAAAAUAGUCUCCUAAAAAUAUCUGACUAUCCGAAGACCUGCUGUUCCAGUUUUCUGAGAGCACAGAGUGUCUCACUCCUGGUCUUCACCCAGAGCUCAGGGGGUGCUACAGGCUGGCAGCUGCAGUGGCUCAUAUUUUACUAUUUGUAGAGGCUAAUGGCAAGUGCCAAACUUUAGUUUACAGUGCUCCCCCAUGGUCAUAAAUUCGAUCACAGUUUUAGGAGGCAUUUCUUAACCAUUUUAUGACUGUUUAAUCCCACAGUGCUAUGAAUGCUCAUUCCCAGGUCUGGCAUAGAUUUCAUUGAUAGGCUACUCAAUGUGCUGUUACUGUACUAGGCCUUAUUACAGUAGCCAAAACUGUCUGGACCACUUAUAUUUUUGGGGGGGAGGGGAGAAAUGGAGAAAAAAAAAUAGCUUUAUUGCUUUGCCAGUCAAAGGAAGGUCAUAGCAGGUUAAUGCCUUAAAGACUGUGCACCCCCCCCAACCCCUUUCAAAAGAAUUGUGAGGAGUUUUAUAGUAAAAAGGAGAAAAACAGGUUUUCAGCUAGGAAUCAGGAUUGGGACAAACCUGCAUUUUCCUUCUUUGGGGGACUCUUAGUCAUCAAAGCUGGAGUCAGGAGAUGUUCAUGAUGGUGGUCUUCUGGGUUAUUGCCUAGAGUAACAGCUAAUAGCUUAGUUACUGUCAUUUAAAAUCUAUUGAGUGAAUUUCCUUAAGGCUUUGAUUUGGCCAAUUAUAGCCUCCAGUCCCAUUGACAGUACAACGAUUGUUUAAGUUGUCAUACUAGUGGAAUAUAGAUUUCUUGACCCAUUGGGUUUGUACCAAUGGUCGAUUGGUUGGGGUCAUCUUUAAAUUGUUAAGUAUAUGACCUUAAGUCCAAGGGAGUCCUAUCCAUCCCAGUGCAAGCCAAGAACAUAAAUUAGUACUACAAAUUCACUGAGUUCCAUUGGGUGUGACCCAGUGAAUCUCCGGUCAUCUGACCCAGCAUGUUCCAUAUCAGCCACUAUCUCCAAGGGUAAAAAUAUAUAGACAUUGUUCAUAAAGCACCCAGCUUAAUUUCCUACUAUUACUAGGCUCAGCUGAUUAUUCUUUGUACGAUUUAAUUGUUUUCAACAUAGAGGAGGCUUUAAACUUAAAUGGCCAUAACCUGAUGUUAACCACUAAAUCUAUCCCACAAGUGUGGUGUGUUCCCUUCUAAUAAACAGGAGGUUACAGUUUUUCAUUGAGCCUAAGCUCAUUGUUCUGAGUUUGAGUAACCCUAAAGGAAAAUUUCGUAUUUAUGAUCAGGGUCAGAGCAGGUACUAUUACUAUUUGGCCAGGUGAGAAAAUCCCACCCAGUAAUAAAAUACAUUUCCUAGAGGUUAUUCAGUCAGAGCCUUAGAAAGGAGAAAUCCAUCAAGGUAACCCAGAAGUACUAGACACAGGUAAUUGGCCACAAACCCAACAGUUGGGCUGGUUAAAAUUAGCAUAGGAUAGUGCUCCUGAUGGAAGAACUUUUGAUUUAUUUAUUUAUUUUUUUGAGGUUCUUAUGCAGAUUAUUUUUUAAUUUUUAUAAUUUUUUUAUUUUCCCACUGUACAGCAAGGGGGUCAGGUUAUCCUUACAUGUAUACAUUACAAUUACAUUUUUUUCCCCCACCCUUUGUUCUGUUGCAACAUUAGUAUCUAGACAAAGUUCUCAAUGCUAUUCAGCAGGAUCUUGUAAAUCUAUUCUAAGUUGUGUCUGAUAAGCCCAAGCUCCUGAUCCCUCCCACUCCCUCCCCCUCCCAUCAGGCGGCCACAAGUCUUUUCUCCAAGUCCAUGAUUUUCUUUUCUGAGAGAUGUUCAUUUGUGCUGGAUAUUAGAUUCCAGCUAUAAGUGAUAUCAUAUGGUAUUUGUCUUUGUCUUUCUUUGUCUUUUGUCAUUUCACUCAGUAUGAGAUUCUCUAGUUCCAUCCAUGUUGCUGCAAAUGGCAUUAUGUCAUUCUUUUUUAUGGCUGAGUAGUAUUCCAUUGUGUCUAUAUACCACCUCUUCUGAAUCCAAUCAUCUGUCGAUGGACAUUUGGGUUGUUUCCAUGUCCUGGCUCUUGUGAAUAGGGCUGCAAUGAACAUGCGGGUGCACGUGUCUCUUUUAAGUAGAGUUUUGUCUGGAUAGAUGCCCAAGAGUGGGAUUGCGGGAUCAUAUGGAAAGAACAUUUGAUUUAUAUGCAAAAAUUCAGGAAGCCAAGAAAACAUAAAUCAUCAUACAAAUCAGGUCUAGCAUCUUAGGGCAGCUGUCUAUUUAUGAUGUCAUCUUCUUCUCAUCCUCCAUGUGAUAGUUUUUUCUCCAUGUGAGCAUGAUUUUGUCAGCAGUCCUCUUUAUAGGACCAGCCCAGUGCAGGGGCCUAGUUUAGCAUUAUGGUCUGAAAAUCAGGAACUUAUAUUGUUCAAAAGUUCUUUCUAUAAUCCUUUCUGUCUGUAAAAAGGAAACAGUUUUGCAAAGGCAUCAGAGUAAAGCCAUUAACUACCUAUAAUGACAAAAGACUUAAGAAGGCAAAUUUAAGAUCUGAUUACAAUGCAUUUGACAAAGAAAUUUCGUUACUGUUGAGACAUCAUACUGUAUAAUCUGAGGCUUAUCACUCAUUUAAUAGUGCUGUCCUUGUAUUUUCCUAGUUAAUUUAACUCUCCCCCUCCCUUCCCUGAUUAGCAGCUAUUUAGACCUGUCAUAUGGAAUUCAGGGAAGGUCAAGGAGGCUGAAUGAGGCCUAUUUCCCGAACAAGAAAUGGGGGACACAGAAAGGCUUGUCCCCAGGAGCCUCACAGGGCCCUGCUUGCUUACAUUCCCCCCUUUUCUUUGAUACUUCUCAAUCUUGAGGAGACCAGGUGUUUAGCCAGAAAGGGAAUGUUUUGGGUAGAGAUGUUAAUCAACUUGGCAAAGGCACUUGGUUUUAUGGGGACUUAGGUGAGUCCCUGCUUCUGUUUUAUGUUUCCCCAAGUCUUCCGGGGAAUGGGGCGACUACCUGCUCUGGCUACUUCCUGCUAAAAUGUGGUGCAGUCCUACCUCAAUUUGGGAAAUGGACACCAAGUUAAAAAUAUUCCCGAGUUUCAAGUCCUGGAUCUGAGUCUUAGAUGAUUACGAUCUCAGUCCCUUGACGAUUCUGGUGCAACAGACCCAAUUGGAAGUAGGAGGAACAACUAGAACUUUAAUAGACAAUGUGCACAUUCCCUGAAGAAUUUAGGAGUAUAAGUCUGAAUUCUGACCAGAAUUUGAAUUUGGGGGAGACUCAUUGUAGCCAGGUAUCCAGUUGUCUACUUUUAUCUAAGUAGGUUUUUAACUUAAGAUGUGGUAUUGACAUAUACACAACAGGAGCUAUUGGCCAUUACAUAUCUCCCCCGCCCCCACUUUUUUUCUUGUCUGAUCUAAAGCAAUUUCAUUGUCUAAAAAUUUAAUAGUUACAAGAGGAUAUCUUGAAGCCAUAAUGUUGCAGCUACUAGCUGCCAACAGAUACUGCUUUAAGAAUAGCUAGUGGCAUCCCAAGUCUGACACAGCUCAGAAAAUUCAAGUUCUCAGCAAUACAAGGACUUGUCUGAAAUCAUGAUCACAAUGCCACCUAGCAUUACUUUGGAUAUCUGAACCAUAGCUACUCCAUUUUGACUUUUAAUAGUAUUUUUCUUAAUGGCCAAGGUAGAUAUCACUGUUAAUGAUUUUAGUGCUUUUCUGGUUAUGAGGAGAUACAAGAAAUAGGCUCAUAAAAUCUUCUCCUAAAAAUAUCUAACUAUCUGAAGACCUGCUCUUCCAGUUUUCCCAGAGCACAGAGCGCUUCACUCCUGGUCUCCACCCUGAACUCUGCUCAGGGGGUGCUGCAGGUUGGCAGCUGGAGUGGCUUAUGUUUUACUUCAUGUGGAGGCUGAUGGCAAGUCUCAAACUUCAGUUCACACUGUGGUUCAGGUAUCUAAGAACUCAGAAUGAAUGGAUUAUGACUGCUGUUAUUCAUGAAAAGUUUUAUUAACUACAUUGUCCAUAAAUGUCUAUACUGAUCUGGCACUGUAAUCUAAACCUGUCAUAUUUCUGAGGUCUGAGCUCAGGUAAAAACUAAGAUUGAUAAUUUGUGGACUAUCUGUAUCUGCUUAAUUCCAAAGACAAAACUCAAGAUUUAGAAAGACCUUUAUAGACUGACUUAGCACAGAGACAGAAUUACAUGGGAAAGGCUGCUUCAGCUCAGAACUGAGAAUGUAGUGGUAAAAAGCCCCUUGUCACAACUUUAGUAGAUAAAUUGAAUACAUCAGUUGAAACCUAUAAUUUGACUCACUUAUAACAAUUACAAAAAAUAGGGAAAGGCUUGGAAUGUGAGCCAUGGUGCCAACUUAUUUAUCAUUACCUUCAUUUGUUCAUUUGUUCAUUAAUUCAUUCAUUCACUCAGAUGAUCACUCAUUCUAUAAAUAACAGUUAAAUGCCUAACCAAUUCAAAGGAUUAGGGAAUGUUGUGAGUGCCAAGGACAGAACUGUUAUCACACAUCCUAUCCUUGCACUUGUGGAGCUUAUAGACCAGUAGAGAAAGACAGAUAAAAGCUGAAACAAAGGCUAAAUGAGAUUAUUUCAGAUGGCAAAAUUCCUAUGAAGGAAGAGAAUCAGAUGGCAUUAUGGAGAUUCGGUGCUUAGAUAAGAUAAGGAGGAUAGACUGCAUAUGUGGGUGAUCUGGGAGGGUCUCUUUGAAAGGUAUCAUUUGAGACCCAGGAUGAGAAGCCAAACUACAUCGACGUACAUAAAGCAGAAGACAAAGAAUAAUUUAUUUCAGAAUAUACAGACCAGAGAUUAAAGAAUAAUUUGCUAACCUGGCAAAGUCCUUAAGGUUUUUUAAGAGGGAAAGCAUUUCUCUCUCUUUUUCUAACUCUAUCUCUCAUAAAUGGAAAUUGCCAACACUUCCUAUGUGUCCAUGAAAAUCAUAUGACUCUGUCUUCCGGAGUUGUAAUGUUUCUUAAGCACAACAACAAAAACAAAACAAGUCUGAAGUUUUGUAGCCCGCAAAAGGCUAUCUGGAGUUCUGUCGUGACUCAGCAGUUAACAAACCCGACUAGCAUCCGUAAGGAUGUGGGUUUGAUCCCUGGCCUCACUCAGUGGGUUAAGGAUCCAGUGUUGUCAUGAGCUGGGUGUAGGUGGCAGAUGUGGCUUGUAUCCAUUGCUAUGACUGUGCUAUGACUGUGGCAUAGGCUGGUGGCUGCAGCUCCAGUUCAGUCGAACCCUAGCCUGGGAGCUUCCAUAUGCUGUGAGUGCAGCACUACAAAAAGACCAAAAAAAAAAGCUAUCAAAGUUCAAAGAAUUGUCUUUAUGUUUAAUACAGUUCUAUGUGCAUUGUAGUGGCUUAAUAAAGAAUAGCUAACUUAAGGAAUGGAAUUUUGUUUAAUGAUGUUACUUACUAAAUACAUACUUAUUUGUUAAAGAAUGAAAUUGAGUUUAAUGAACUUAUAGACCAGUAGUCUUUCAAAGAUACCAGAAUACUUUAUUAUUCAUUCCACAAGUAACCUCAUUCACUUGCCUAAGUCAAGUAAAAGAGUAUUAAUUCUGAGAGUAGUAACCCUGAAAUGAUUCAUGGUGUUGAUUCAUAGAUGAGAUUUAACUUAAAGCAACACCUUUGUCUCGAUCACUCAAAUGACACUUAUGUAAAUAACAAUAUAAGGGAGAACAGACUUUUUAUAUAGGUUAUUUUUUUCAAUUAGAUCGUAAAAUACAUUAUGAUAGGAGCCAAUUUUUAUGCCUCUUUAGAACCCUAAUUCUUAUUAGCAUAUAUGAAAAUGAUGGGUGCUCACUAAUCUCGAAGGCUGUGCAGUGAACUGGAAAAAGGAUGGUCUUUAAAGCUAGACAGACUGAUUUGAAUUCUGGCUCUGCAAAUUUCCAGCCUGUGGGCUUGACUAAAUGGUAUGUUAGCUGAGCCUCACUUUUUUCACCUAUAGAAUGGAGAUCCCACUACCUUUCAAGGUGAAUUUGGAGGUUAAUGAUGCUUUAGGCAUGAUAACUAUAGGAUAACUAUUGAUAUUUAAAAACAAGAAGAGAAAUAGGCAGACUGUUGCUAUUAAGUUCUGUGAGGUCAGAAAUGGGAGCUGUAUCUUUUGGUAUCCACAAUUCCUGACCCAGGAGUGGCACAAAACAAGUACUUGCUGAAUGAGUGAAUAAAUGAAUGUUACGUUUGAUGAUUUGAGUUGGGUAGAAUGGUGAGAAAUGUUGUGAUUUAUACCCAAUGAUAGACAUAAAAUAGAAGAAUUUAAGGACCACAUUAGAUAUACCAGUACCUUCAAAUUUAUUAUUGCCUUUAGGAGGAAUACUCUUACACUAUUUCUAGAAAGAAAACUGUCCCUUUUGUUGUUAAAAACAACAACAAACCUUUAGAAAGAACUAUCAUCAGUUAUGUCUAGUUUCCAAUAGCAAUUUUCUACAAGACAAAAGUAUAAAAAUUAAUCAAAUAAACAAUACCAAAACACCUGCUGUAAUGUUAAUUGCAGGAGUUCAGUUCUCCUGGCCUUUACAAGAAUCAGGUGACCUCAGUGAAGGUAAAUCAUUAUUGGUUGAACUGUGGUUGUGUUCUGUGAAAAAAAACAAUGUCUCAGCCCAAAGGCCAUGUAAUGAUUCUUUGAACAAUUGACCCUAGGAAGAAGGGUUAAGAUGGUUUUGGAUCUUCAGUUCUUUAACUUCACAUGCAGUAAGUGGUGGAGUCAAAGGAGAUAGUUGAAUUGUCUCUGUACUCAGAAAGCAGGACUGUGUGUUCUCAGGAUUUCUGAGGGCUUUGAUCAGUCUUCAAGCGAGUCUGCAUACCUGCUGGAAGAGUUAGUGUCAACUUAAAGAGAUGGUGGAAUAGACCUUAAGUGGAAAAAUAUUCUGCUUUUCUAGGGACGUAACAGUCUGAGAUAAACAGCCCUGUCCUUUACUGAUAGUAGAAAUAAGGAAAGUUAUCAAGGAGGAAGAGACUCUAGGUAGGUACAGAAAUAUCUGAAUCAGAUGAUCUAAGAAAAAUUGUGGUGGAGGAGUUCCCUUUGUAGCACAGUGGAAAUGAAUGAGACUAGGUAACCAUGAGGUGGUGGGUUCGAUCCCUGGCCUUGCUCAAUGGGCUAAGGAUCCAGUGUUGCAGUGAUGUAUGGUGUAGGUCGCAGAUGUGGCUUGGAUACUACGUUGCUGUGGCUGUGGCAUAGGAUGGCAGCUACAGCUCCAAUUCAACCCCUUGCCUGGCAACCUGCAUAUGC